Molecule: non-coding RNA, 149 nt
Organism: Gossypium raimondii (Peruvian cotton)
Lineage: Eukaryota; Viridiplantae; Streptophyta; Magnoliopsida; Malvales; Malvaceae
Source: Rfam
UGUUAAAAAUUUCAUCCAUUUUUACUGCUAAAAAUUGGUUUGGCUAACAGAAUAAUUAGACAAUUACACGUGGUGUGCUACGUGUACUUCGUUUUGACAUAUAGAGACCAAUUUCUAAUGGUAGGAUUCAUUUGCCCAUUUUUUGAAUA